Molecule: ribosomal RNA, 385 nt
Filed under: uncultured bacterium
Lineage: Bacteria
Description: bacterial SSU rRNA
Rfam family: Bacterial small subunit ribosomal RNA
Source: RNAcentral
GAUGAACGCUAGCGGCAGGCUUAACACAUGCAAGUCGAGGGGUAUAGUUCUUCGGAAUUAGAGACCGGCGCACGGGUGCGUAACGCGUAUGCAAUCUACCUUUUGCAGAGGGAUAGCCCAGAGAAAUUUGGAUUAAUACCUCAUAGUAUAGUGAUACCGCAUGGUACUGCUAUUAAAGUCACAACGGCAAAAGAUGAGCAUGCGUCCCAUUAGCUAGUUGGUAAGGUAACGGCUUACCAAGGCUACGAUGGGUAGGGGUCCUGAGAGGGAGAUCCCCCACACUGGUACUGAGACACGGACCAGACUCCUACGGGAGGCAGCAGUGAGGAAUAUUGGACAAUGGGCGCAAGCCUGAUCCAGCCAUGCCGCGUGCAGGAUGACGGUC